Rhagoletis zephyria (snowberry fruit fly) is the source of this 409-nucleotide long non-coding RNA. RefSeq lists it as uncharacterized. The record is from RefSeq and is a predicted model, not a curated record. Lineage: Eukaryota; Metazoa; Arthropoda; Insecta; Diptera; Tephritidae.
CAUUCUUGACCAUUCGCGAAUGUCAAGUGCUGGUAAGCAAAGUGCUACGUUCGGUCGGUCGUCUAACAGACGAACUUGAAGACGAGAUGCAAAUAGAGAUCGCUGCAACGUUGCCCUUGGCAAUUGACGCAGCUAAAGAUAUCGAAGAAAAGCUGGAAAAACAGGAAUACUUCGAAUCAAUGAAAAUCUACUUGUUCCAAAUGAAAGGAAGCAACGGAACGGUGGAUGACGUUUUCCGAAGGGUCAUGACCGAGGAACUAGCCUUUUUAUUCAAUUUUGAUGGAAGGAGAAGAACGCGUUAACAAAAUUGAAACUAAUUAACCAAGUUUUAAGCGAGGUUUUCGCAACUGAAGGUUGAAAAGGCGUCAAGGAAAAGCAUUGAGUUGAGUCACAAUCGCUUUCACCAAAA